CUCCACGCGAGAUACCGAUGGCCUCUCACCACUUGCGUCUCCCCACGUCGUUCCUCCGUCCGUAGCCUCCCGGACGCGCCGCUCAAGGGCCCGUCUGCAUACCUUCUUCGACACCGUGGUGCUCAGAUCUCCUCUCCAACACCGACGACGACCACCACCAUGGCAGCCGCCUUCCUUGUGCACCUCUCUCGUCGCGCCACCACCACCUCUACCUCCACAAUGGCGGCCUCCCUCCGGUGCCUCCUCACAGCCCCCUCCACCGGCCUCAUCCUCCCGUCCCCAUCCGCUCCGCCCACCAAAGAAGAGCAUCUGGACCUCUUCUUUUUCGAAUCCACAAAAUGGUUGUUAAGCUACUGCUAUAUUGCUGACCAGAUUGAUUUACAAAUUUAGUUUGAGGCAAAUCUUGCCGCCGAGCAGUAACAAACUGCUCCUUUGGAGUAACACUAGGCUUAGACUGCGCGACAGCUGCAACACUAUUCAAG
This 482-nucleotide unclassified non-coding RNA is filed under the name Zea mays. RNAcentral's name for it is "misc RNA Zm00001eb137450". The record is from RNAcentral. Lineage: Eukaryota; Viridiplantae; Streptophyta; Magnoliopsida; Poales; Poaceae.